This 745-nucleotide ribosomal RNA is filed under the name uncultured archaeon. Its description in RNAcentral is "bacterial SSU rRNA". It matches the Rfam family "Archaeal small subunit ribosomal RNA", at positions 70 to 814 of the family's 1478-position model. The record is from RNAcentral.
UCAGACCCGUGGCAAAUAGCUCAGUAGCACGUGGCCAAUCUACCCUCUGGAACGGCAUACCCUCGGGAAACUGAGGUUAAUUCCGUACACCGCUCUCAACCUGGAAUGGUGGGAGCUCGAAACGCUCCGGCGCCGGAGGAUGAGGCUGCGGCCGAUUAGGUUGACGGUGGGGUAAUGGCCCACCGUGCCGAUAAUCGGUCUGGGUCAUGAGAGUGAGAACCCAGAGACGGAAUCUGAGACAAGAUUCCGGGCCCUACGGGGCGCAGCAGGCGCGAAACCUUUACACUGCACGCCAGUGCGAUAAGGGGACCCCAAGUGCGCAGGCAUAGUGCCUGCGCUUUUCUGGACUGUAGGGCGGUCCAGGAACAAGGGCUGGGCAAGACCGGUGCCAGCCGCCGCGGUAAUACCGGCAGCCCAAGUGAUGGCCGCUGUUAUUGGGCCUAAAGCGUCCGUAGCUGGCCGCACAAGUCCGUCGGGAAAUCCGCCCGCUCAACGGGCGGCCGUCCGGCGGAACCUGUGUGGCUUGGGACCGGGAGGCCUGAGGGGUACGAUCGGGGUAGGAGUGAAAUCCUGUAAUCCCGCUCGGACCGCCGAUGGGGAAACCACCUCAGGAGAACGGAUCCGACAGUGAGGGACGAAAGCCAGGGUCUCGAACCGGAUUAGAUACCCGGGUAGUCCUGGCCGUAAACGAUGCUUGUUAGGUGUGACUCCCACUACGAGUGGGUGUUGUGCCGUAGGGAAGCCG